RNAcentral lists this ribosomal RNA (360 nucleotides) under uncultured bacterium. Its description in RNAcentral is "partial 16S ribosomal RNA". It matches the Rfam family "Bacterial small subunit ribosomal RNA", at positions 338 to 714 of the family's 1533-position model. The record is from RNAcentral.
CCUACGGGUGGCAGCAGUGGGGAAUAUUGCGCAAUGGGGGCAACCCUGACGCAGCAACGCCGCGUGAUUGAAGAAGGCCUUCGGGUUGUAAAGAUCUUUAAGCGGGGACGAAGGGUGACGGGACCCGAAGAAUAAGCGCCGGCUAACUACGUGCCAGCAGCCGCGGGAAUACGGAGGGAGCAAGCGUUAUCCGGAUUUACUGGGUGUAAAGGGCGUGGAGGCGGGCAUUCAAGCCAGAAGUGAAAUCUGGGGGCUGAACCCCCAAACUGCUUUUGGAACUGCGUGUCUUGAGUGAUGGCGAGGCAGGCGUACUUCCCCGUGUCGCGGUGAACUGCGUGGCUCUUGGGAGGAACACCAGUG